Molecule: non-coding RNA, 92 nt
Organism: Podarcis lilfordi (Lilford's wall lizard)
Lineage: Eukaryota; Metazoa; Chordata; Lepidosauria; Squamata; Lacertidae
Source: the annotation of a GenBank genome assembly
AUGGGACUCUCAAGAGUCUCCUCCAGCACCAUAAUUCAGAAGAAUUGAUGCUUUUGAAUUAUGGUGCUGGAGGAGACUCUUGAGAGUCCCAU